Molecule: ribosomal RNA, 497 nt
Filed under: uncultured bacterium
Lineage: Bacteria
Description: partial 16S ribosomal RNA
Rfam family: Bacterial small subunit ribosomal RNA
Source: RNAcentral
GAUGAACGCUGGCGGCGUGCCUAAUACAUGCCAGUCGAGCGAACGGACGAGGAGCUUGCUUCUCUGAUGUUAGCGGCGGACGGGUGAGUAACACGUGGAUAACCUACCUAUAAGACUGGGAUAACUUCGGGAAACCGGAGCUAAUACCGGAUAAUAUUUUGAACCGCAUGGUUCAAUAGUGAAAGACGGUCUUGCUGUCACUUAUAGAUGGAUCCGCGCCGCAUUAGCUAGUUGGUAAGGUAACGGCUUACCAAGGCAACGAUGCAUAGCCGACCUGAGAGGGUGAUCGGCCACACUGGAACUGAGACACGGUCCAGACUACUACGGGAGGCAGCAGUAGGGAAUCUUCCGCAAUGGGCGAAAGCUUGACGGAGCAACGCCGCGUGAGUGAUGAAGGUCUUCGGAUCGUAAAACUCUGUUAUUAGGGAAGAACAUAUGUGUAAGUAACUGUGCACAUCUUGACGGUACCUAAUCAGAAAGCCACGGCUAACUACGUG